GUCAGCGCAGGAACAGAGAGUGAAAUGUUAUUAAUCUGACGAGUCUGAGCCACGAGUUUACUGACGAGCGUCUGAAACGUGCGGGAGAACCUCGCUUUUAGCAAGUGCAGCUGGAGCCUCUCUAAAUUCCCUCUGCUUUCCCUCUUUCCUGACUGCUUGCUUUAUCUGCUCCCUCUAGAGGAAUGGGUGUGAAGGUGCUCCUGUGCUUCCCCUUCUACAGGCGCUGCAAAGACAAAUGCAAGAGCAGACACUGCCCUCCUGAAACAGAAGUCGAAUCACCAAGUGAAGAACCGAAGCAACGUCUCUCCUCCACAACAUCCACAAGCAGUGAGGGCGACAGCGGGAGCAGCCUGGGCGGCCCUCAGGUGUACUAUUCCCAGAAGGCCCGGGUCUCGUUCAGACACCAGAUGGACAGCAACAUCCACGCAGUGGACGCUACAUAUUAACUCCUACGUGUUGCCAAGAUACUGAACAUGACCCCUGACCCCUGAGUUGUGAACUGUAAGGAGUGACUGUAAGGGGGGCGUCAUCACCGGUGAUGGAGGAUGGAACUAAACAAACUACAGUGUUUCAUAACCACUCGAAUGACGAUGAUCAUAGAAACAGGCAUACAGUAUGUUUACAACAUGAAUAUGUGUGUGUCCGAGUAGCAGAGCUA
RNAcentral lists this long non-coding RNA (658 nucleotides) under Astyanax mexicanus (Mexican tetra). Its description in RNAcentral is "lncRNA (ENSAMXG00005002492.1)". The record is from RNAcentral. Lineage: Eukaryota; Metazoa; Chordata; Actinopteri; Characiformes; Acestrorhamphidae.